RNAcentral lists this unclassified non-coding RNA (307 nucleotides) under Hevea brasiliensis (rubber tree). Lineage: Eukaryota; Viridiplantae; Streptophyta; Magnoliopsida; Malpighiales; Euphorbiaceae. The record is from RNAcentral.
UAAUUGAAUUAUAGAUUUGGAUCUCCUUUGCAACAUGGGUUGUCUUCUUUUGAAAUGAGUCUGCGGUUUUUAUCCUGCGGGUGAUGUCUGUCAUCGCUCACCAAAACAACACCAUUUCCCUCUUCCAGUCUUCCCUUCUUUCACUUUUUUGCCCCUGUAUAGUCCUCCAAAACGCGGAUGCUUUCGUGGGUUGUUCGUCAUUUUGCUUUUCUGCUCUUCUCUUCUUAUCCUCCUCCAAGGCAAACUGUUCAUGUUCCACAGUUAACAAGCAAAGUGUCAGAAUGUGCAUGAUAAAUUUUAAGGGGUG